This is a long non-coding RNA of Mytilus californianus (California mussel), 351 nucleotides long. RefSeq lists it as uncharacterized. Lineage: Eukaryota; Metazoa; Mollusca; Bivalvia; Mytilida; Mytilidae. The record is from RefSeq and is a predicted model, not a curated record. The transcript is spliced from 4 exons.
AAUAGGUUACCCGUAAGGUCUACAGCAAUGAGUAAAACACACAUAAUAAUAGGUUACCCGUAAGGUCUACAGCAAUGAGUAAAACACACAUAAUAAUAGGUUACCCGUAAGGUCUACAGCAAUGAGUAAAACACACAUAAUAAUAGGUUACCCGUAAGGUCUACAGCAAUGAGUAAAACACACAUAAUAAUAGGUUACCCGUAAGGUCUACAGCAAUGAGUAAAACACACAUAAUAAUAGGUUACCCGUAAGGUCUACAGCAAUGAGUAAAACACACAUAAUAAUAGGUUACCCGUAAGGUCUACAGCAAAGAGUAAAACACACAUAAUAAUAGGUUACCCGUAAGGUCUA